Long non-coding RNA from Helicoverpa zea (corn earworm), 423 nucleotides. RefSeq lists it as uncharacterized. The record is from RefSeq and is a predicted model, not a curated record. The transcript has 2 exons. NCBI's taxonomy places the organism in Eukaryota, Metazoa, Arthropoda, Insecta, Lepidoptera, Noctuidae.
AGUUUGUGUAUAGAGAAAGAAUCUCGAUAUUUUUUCAACAAGCAGGUAAUAAUUUAUUAUUACCUUGCAAGACAUAGGUAGGUAAAAUAAUUUAAACACAAUUGGUUGGAAUUGGAAUACGUAAUGGAGAUGCGUUCUGCUACGCGGCAGCCGAGCGCGGCACUGCCGAUUGGUUGCCGCGCCGAGUCGCGUCCCCCCGCGCCGCGCCGCCCGCGUGCCGCGCCGCGCUCGCCCUCGCUCGGCGCCGACCGUGAGCCGAGUCGGCUGCCGCGGUUAUCGACCCAGAACGGGACAGCAACAAAACAUUAUGUCGCAUUCGUUCCUCAUGUGAAACUUAUCGAUAUUCAUUUUGUUUACUGUUAACAUUCUUGCAAGUGACUGAUAUUGGACACAACUGAUUUAAUAAACAAAGUGAAUUAUCUA